This is a long non-coding RNA of Dermacentor silvarum, 399 nucleotides long. RefSeq lists it as uncharacterized. The record is from RefSeq and is a predicted model, not a curated record. NCBI's taxonomy places the organism in Eukaryota, Metazoa, Arthropoda, Arachnida, Ixodida, Ixodidae. The transcript is spliced from 3 exons.
UCUUCAAUCAAAGUACCAGGUUCGACAUGUUACAAAGAAACUAUAAUACCUCGGGCGAUGGUAAAGACUCCAUGUGUGUGAAGAUUAGGCGUGACACCUCCGUUGUGGAAGGGAAUACAGUGAUGAAAAAUUUUACUUACAGAAACAUGAGUUCCACGCUUCGACAAAGGGCUAGCGCACUAAUUAACAUGACAUUUUACAAUAAAGAUUAUGAAUACGAUGAGUACGACGAUGACACCACAUCGUCGACCACAGCUACCAGUGAGCCGCAGAAAUACAUGAAAGUACGCUCGACCAUCGAAGCGACUGCCUCUGGAUUUUCUCUAUUAGAGCCAUCCUGGAGCUUCCUGUACAUCACUAAAGACUGUUACGUUGUUGAAUUAUCAGACGGUUUUAUUG